GCACCAGUGGUUUAGUGGUAAAAUCUGAGCUUCCCAUGCUCAGGCCACGGGUUCGAUUCCCGUCUGGUGCA
This 71-nucleotide transfer RNA is filed under the name Plenodomus lindquistii. RNAcentral describes it as "tRNA-Gly". It matches the Rfam family "tRNA". Rfam says of the family: Transfer RNA (tRNA) molecules are approximately 80 nucleotides in length. Their secondary structure includes four short double-helical elements and three loops (D, anti-codon, and T loops). The record is from RNAcentral. Lineage: Eukaryota; Fungi; Ascomycota; Dothideomycetes; Pleosporales; Leptosphaeriaceae. RNAcentral also lists the same sequence under 1 other name.